This 579-nucleotide unclassified non-coding RNA is filed under the name Homo sapiens (human). RNAcentral's name for it is "leukocyte immunoglobulin like receptor B5 (ENSG00000273991.4, ENSG00000274311.4, ENSG00000277414.4)". The record is from RNAcentral. Lineage: Eukaryota; Metazoa; Chordata; Mammalia; Primates; Hominidae.
AGCCUCCAGUCCACACUCUGCGUGUUUUUGUGUCCUGCCAGGCACCGUGGUCUCAUCCGCCUGCACAGCUGAGUCCAGUGGGAGCUGACGCCAUGACCCUCACCCUCUCAGUCCUGAUUUGCCUCGGGCUGAGUGUGGGCCCCAGGACCUGCGUGCAGGCAGGCACCCUCCCCAAACCCACCCUCUGGGCUGAGCCAGCCUCUGUGAUAGCUCGGGGGAAGCCCGUGACCCUCUGGUGUCAGGGGCCCCUGGAGACUGAGGAGUACCGUCUGGAUAAGGAGGGACUCCCAUGGGCCCGGAAGAGACAGAACCCACUGGAGCCUGGAGCCAAGGCCAAGUUCCACAUUCCAUCCACGGUGUAUGACAGUGCAGGGCGAUACCGCUGCUACUAUGAGACCCCUGCAGGCUGGUCAGAGCCCAGUGACCCCCUGGAGCUGGUGGCGACAGGAAAAACCCUCAGGUGUGGUCGAACCCCAGUGACCUCCUGGAGAUUCUGGUCCCAGGCGUGUCUAGGAAGCCCUCCCUCCUGAUCCCGCAGGGCUCUGUCGUGGCCCGCGGAGGCAGCCUGACCCUGCAGUG